Molecule: unclassified non-coding RNA, 380 nt
Filed under: uncultured bacterium
Lineage: Bacteria
Description: contains 16S-23S intergenic spacer region
Source: RNAcentral
UCCGAUUUGAAUAUCGGCAGUCUCGCUAGAGUGCCCGGCCGAACCGCUGGCAACUAACGACGAGGGUUGCGCUCGUUGCGGGACUUAACCCAACACCCCACGGCACGAGCUGACGACAGCCAUGCAGCAUCUGUGCGCGCUCCCUUGCGGGUCCUUCCCCUUUCGGGGUCGUACCACGCGCAUGUCAAACCCAGGUAAGGUUCUUCGCGUUGCAUCGAAUUAAUCCACACGCUCCACCGCUUGUGCGGGCCCCCGUCAAUUCCUUUGAGUUUCAGCCUUGCGGCCGUACUCCCCAGGCGGGGCACUUAAUGCGUUAGCGCCGGCACCCAGGGGGUCGCUCCCCCAGGCACCUAGUGCCCAUCGUUUACGGCGUGGACUAC